RNAcentral lists this ribosomal RNA (465 nucleotides) under uncultured bacterium. Its description in RNAcentral is "partial 16S ribosomal RNA". It matches the Rfam family "Bacterial small subunit ribosomal RNA", at positions 28 to 507 of the family's 1533-position model. The record is from RNAcentral.
GACGAACGCUGGCGGCGUGCUUAACACAUGCAAGUCGAACGGAAAGGCCCUGCUUGCAGGGUACUCGAGUGGCGAACGGGUGAGUAACACGUGGGUGAUCUGCCCUGCACUUCGGGAUAAGCCUGGUAAACUGGGUCUAAUACCGGAUAGGAGCCAUUUUUAGUGUGAUGGUUGGAAAGUUUUUUCGGUGUAGGAUGAGCUCGCGGCCUAUCAGCUUGUUGGUGGGGUAAUGGCCUACCAAGGCGGCGACGGGUAGCCGGCCUGAGAGGGUGGACGGCCACAUUGGGACUGAGAGACGGCCCAGACUCCUACGGGAGGCAGCAGGGGGGAAGAUUGCACAAUGGGCGCAAGCCUGAUGCAGCGACGCCGCGGGGGGGAUGACGGCCUUCGGGUUGUAAACUCCUUUCGCUAGGGACGAAGCUUUUUGUGACGGUACCUAGAUAAGAAGCACCGGCUAACUACGUG